AUGGCGUACUCCUCCUGUUUGAAUCGGAGUUUGAAACCAAACAAACUUCUCCACAGGAGGAUAGAUGGGGCGAUUCAGGUGAGAUCCCAUGUAGAUCUAACUUUCUAUUCACUCGUGGGAUCCGGGCGGUCCGGAGGGGGCACCAUGGUUCCUCUCUUCUCGAGAAUCCAUACAUCCCUUACCAGUGUAUGGAGAGCUAUCUCUGGAGCACAGGUUGAGGUUCGUCCUCAAUGGGAAAAUGGAGCACCUAACAACACAUCUUCACAGACCAAGAACUACGAGAUCACCCCUUUCAUUCUAGGGUGAGGGAGGCCUGGGUCAACGCCACGACGACGUGGGCGCGAGCCGGCGAGGAGUCGGCAUGGCCAGAGAUGCCGGCAGGGACGGUGCCAGCGGCGACGGUCUUCGUGCCGUCAUCGGAGGGGGAGCGCGGCCAAGGCGGCCGCGCGGGCGCGAUGGACCUCGACCGGGAGGACAUGGUGGUUGGGGACGACUCCCCGCCGCGGACCGACGAGGUCGAGCGGGCGGGGGCCGAGGGAGGCGGCGGUGACGCCGUCUUGGAGGAGACACCACGGAUGGCGCCGGAGGGAGCGCCUCGGGCGCCGAUGA
This 609-nucleotide ribosomal RNA is filed under the name Triticum aestivum (bread wheat). RNAcentral's name for it is "partial small subunit ribosomal RNA". The record is from RNAcentral. Lineage: Eukaryota; Viridiplantae; Streptophyta; Magnoliopsida; Poales; Poaceae.